UUCCGGUUGAUCCUGCCGGAGGUCACUGCUAUUGGGAUUCGACUAAGCCAUGCGAGUUGAGAGGGUUCGGCCCUCGGCAGACGGCUCAGUAACACGUGGAUAAUCUGCCCUUAGGUGGAGGAUAACCUCGGGAAACUGAGAAUAAUACUCCAUAGAUCUGGAAUGCUGGAAUGCAUCUAGGUUGAAAGUCCGGCGCCUAAGGACGAGCCCGCGGACUAUCAGGUAGUAGUCAGGGUAAAGACCUGACUAGCCUAUGACGGAUACGGGUUGUGAGAGCAAUAACCCGGAGACGAUAUCUGAGACACGAUAUCGGGCCCUACGGGGCGCAGCAGGCGCGAAAACUUCACACUGUGCGAAAGCACGAUGAGGGGAUCCCAAGUGCUGGCUCGUAAGAGUCAGCUGUUUCUUUGUCUAAAAAACAAAGAGAGUAAGGGCUGGGUAAGACGGGUGCCAGCCGCCGCGGUAAUACCUGCAGCUCAAGUGGUGGCCGCUAUUAUUGGGCCUAAAACGUCCGUAGCCGGUUUAGUAAAUGCCUGGGUAAAUCGUGUAGCUUAACUAUACGAAUUCCGGGUAGACUGCUGAACUUGAGAUCGGGAGAGGCUAGAGGUACUCCUGGGGUAGAGGUGAAAUUUUGUAAUCCUAGGGGGACCACCAGUGGCGAAGGCGUCUAGCUAGAACGAGUCUGACGGUGAGGGACGAAGCCCUGGGGCGCAAACCGGAUUAGAUACCCGGGUAGUCCAGGGUGUAAACGCUGCUCGCUUGAUGUUAGUUGGGCUCCGAGCCCAACUAGUGUCGGAGAGAAGUUGUUAAGCGAGCUGCCUGGGAAGUACGGUCGCAAGGCUGAAACUUAAAGGAAUUGGCGGGGGAGCACAGCAACGGGUGGAGCGUGCGGUUUAAUUGGAUUCAACGCCGGG
Molecule: ribosomal RNA, 914 nt
Filed under: uncultured archaeon
Lineage: Archaea
Description: bacterial SSU rRNA
Rfam family: Archaeal small subunit ribosomal RNA
Source: RNAcentral